Cyanistes caeruleus (blue tit) is the source of this 283-nucleotide non-coding RNA. Lineage: Eukaryota; Metazoa; Chordata; Aves; Passeriformes; Paridae. The record is from RefSeq and is a predicted model, not a curated record.
AAAUUUGUUGUCUCCCAGAGCCCAGUGUCACCUUUCAGUUUAAUCACUGAAUUCCGAAAUACCACUUUUGAAGGUGUAAUGGGUCCUGUGACUCUAGAUGAAUUUGGAGACAUUGAUACCAAUCUGACCGUGCUGUACACGUCACAGACUGCAAAUUAUUUCAAACCUCUUCUGUAUUUCAACACUCAAAGCAAUGAGACAUACGAGGCGACUAACAGUCCUGAUUUUAUCUGGAAGAACCACAGGCUGCCCAGUGAUACUCCAGGCACUGGUGAGACACCCA